AAAGGGGAAGCAAGAAGACAGAACUACUUGUACUACCACGAAAGGAUAAAGUAUUUUGCCUGCACCAUAUUACCAAUGAAAGCCGGGAACAUCAGAUCAUUUGGAAAUAGAAAGAUAUAGAAGACCGCACAUGCUCAAUUUUAUCCUUCAACUGCCUCCUAAGCUGUGAUAGGGAGCUACAGAAGAAAGACAUGCCUUCUGAGAGAUCUCUGGAUCCAGAUUUCACAAUGUACCAUCUAAGGCUACUUUCACAAUAUCGGCAGGCUUCUCCGGCUGUCAUGAGAAAACCAAGGCCGAUACUUGCUUCCAAUUGUGCAGAAGUUCCAAUCAAAGUCUGAAUGGUUUUAUUCAGCUAUCCUCUCUGUCUGUUUGCUGUGAUCUUGCCGGAAACCCAGAACGUACAAAUUUAUUGACAAUGUGAUUGGAGCUGAGUUUGACUACCCUGUACAGCCGGCUUGAGAAGCCUGAUGAAAUCGAUAAGGUAGAAGAAGAUAUUUCAAUUAUAUUAUUACUUUGGUUUAUUAAAAUACACCAAAUUUUGUCAAUCCUAAACUAAUGUUUGCUAUCAAUAAAAAGUUUAUCCAUAUAUGUAC
Molecule: long non-coding RNA, 593 nt
Organism: Bufo gargarizans (Asiatic toad)
Lineage: Eukaryota; Metazoa; Chordata; Amphibia; Anura; Bufonidae
Exons: 3
Source: RefSeq, a predicted model, not a curated record